Molecule: ribosomal RNA, 664 nt
Filed under: Achromobacter sp. As3-38
Lineage: Bacteria; Pseudomonadati; Pseudomonadota; Betaproteobacteria; Burkholderiales; Alcaligenaceae
Description: bacterial SSU rRNA
Rfam family: Bacterial small subunit ribosomal RNA
Source: RNAcentral
ACUUCGGUCUGGUGGCGAGUGGCGAACGGGUGAGUAAUGUAUCGGAACGUGCCUAGUAGCGGGGGAUAACUACGCGAAAGCGUAGCUAAUACCGCAUACGCCCUACGGGGGAAAGCAGGGGAUCGCAAGACCUUGCACUAUUAGAGCGGCCGAUAUCGGAUUAGCUAGUUGGUGGGGUAACGGCUCACCAAGGCGACGAUCCGUAGCUGGUUUGAGAGGACGACCAGCCACACUGGGACUGAGACACGGCCCAGACUCCUACGGGAGGCAGCAGUGGGGAAUUUUGGACAAUGGGGGAAACCCUGAUCCAGCCAUCCCGCGUGUGCGAUGAAGGCCUUCGGGUUGUAAAGCACUUUUGGCAGGAAAGAAACGUCAUGGGUUAAUACCCCGUGAAACUGACGGUACCUGCAGAAUAAGCACCGGCUAACUACGUGCCAGCAGCCGCGGUAAUACGUAGGGUGCAAGCGUUAAUCGGAAUUACUGGGCGUAAAGCGUGCGCAGGCGGUUCGGAAAGAAAGAUGUGAAAUCCCAGAGCUCAACUUUGGAACUGCAUUUUUAACUACCGGGCUAGAGUGUGUCAGAGGGAGGUGGAAUUCCGCGUGUAGCAGUGAAAUGCGUAGAUAUGCGGAGGAACACCGAUGGCGAAGGCAGCCUCCUGGGAUAA